Non-coding RNA from Chiloscyllium plagiosum (whitespotted bambooshark), 1205 nucleotides. NCBI's taxonomy places the organism in Eukaryota, Metazoa, Chordata, Chondrichthyes, Orectolobiformes, Hemiscylliidae. The record is from RefSeq and is a predicted model, not a curated record.
CUUCUCCAGCCCAGAGAGAGGUGGCUGGACAGUUUCUGUAGAGGUAUUUUGGCUGUGAGGGAGGGACAAGUUACCAGUAAAAGAUGGUGUUGUUAACUGUAUCUCCCUGACCAAGCCUGCAGAGGCGGAGAAGAAAGGCGAGAAGCGAGGCAGGGCGGAGGUGCACGUCAGUGCAGUUCAGGGCAGAGGCAGCCGAGCGGAAAAAACGACUCACUCAGGAUACAAAAACAAGAAAGGGUUUGAGGCCGUGGAGAGAGAGAGAGAGAGAGAGAAAAAUCCCCUUCGUCUCUACGUUGACGCAAGCAUUACCACAGGAACAAAUGGACAGCGCUUGAAACAAGAUUACAGUCUUUGACCCUGGCAGCUGUUUGAAAUCCCCAAAUCAAUGGUAGGAAAGACUGAAAACCAAAAUGCUGAAGGUCACAGAGGAUCAGGCGGCAUCCAUGCAGAGAAAGCAACCUAGCAUUUUGAGUCUAAAUGACUCUUCAGACUUCAUCAGACAUACCAAGUACCAUUUAAGGCACCAACACGAAAGCCUUUGGAUCCACACAGAACUAGUUGUAGAGUCUCUUACCUGCCACAAGGAAGCUGGAUGGGAGGUGUGACUCGGAUUGGUGCCCACAGCCUGGCCCAGCAGGUGGAGAAAUGCCUUGAGGGAUCAUGGUGUGGAACUAUUUAACAGAUGAAGGAAUCGUCAAAGACCUAAUAAAUUGCAGCAAAAGCAAGAGAUGACACCAAAGGAACGCAAACAUGGAAGAUUACUUCAAUCUGUAAAUUGAAGAUGGGAUAUCACCAACAGGACAAAAUAAUUUAAAUAUUAAUUAUUUAAACUCUGCACUUAACAGCAUCAGAUAUAUUAGCCAGCUUGGCUACUUGGGGAAGUCUGAUAUCAACCCUUAAACCUGUUGCACAGUAAAUUCAUGCUCUACCACUAUUGGAAAAAUAAAGUUACACAUAUUACCCCCAUGUCACAGGCAAAAAGUACUUGUGGUUUUAAAAUAAUGCCCAGCAUAUUGUAAUUGUGAGAACGCUUCAUAAAACAUUACAUUUUAAAACAUGGUCAACACAUGCCAAAAUUCUGUUGACUUAUGACAACUUGUGUACCAAACUGUAAAAAUAGGGCCUCAAAUAUAUUUAGGAGAAAGCGAGGACUGCAGAUGCUGGAGAUCAGAGUGAGUAAGUGUGGUGCUGGAAACGCACAGCCA